Molecule: non-coding RNA, 77 nt
Organism: Merluccius polli (Benguela hake)
Lineage: Eukaryota; Metazoa; Chordata; Actinopteri; Gadiformes; Merlucciidae
Source: the annotation of a GenBank genome assembly
GUGCAGGAUAGUCAGUGGUUAUAGAGUGUUUGACUCCCAACCGAAAGGUUCUGGGUUCAAACCUCAAUGUCCGCAGA